AGAGUUUGAUCAUGGCUCAGGAUGAACGCUGGCGGCGUGCCUAACACAUGCAAGUCGAGCGAUUUUCUUCGGAAGAGAGCGGCGGACGGGUGAGUAACGCGUGGGUAACCUGCCUCAUACACAUGGAUAACAUACCGAAAGGUAUGCUAAUACAAGAUGAUAUAAGAGAUUCGCAUGGAUUUCUUAUCAAAGCUCCGGCGGUAUGAGAUGGACCCGCGUCUGAUUAGCUAGUUGGUAAGGUAACAGCUUACCAAGGCGACGAUCAGUAGCCGACCUGAGAGGGUGAUCGGCCACAUUGGAACUGAGACACGGUCCAAACUCCUACGGGAGGCAGCAGUGGGGAAUAUUGCACAAUGGGCGAAAGCCUGAUGCAGCAACGCCGCGUGAGCGAUGAAGGCCUUCGGGUCGUAAAGCUCUGUCCUCAAGGAAGAUAAUGACGGUACUUGAGGAGGAAGCCCCGGCUAACUACGUGCCAGCAGCCGCGGUAAUACGUAGGGGGCUAGCGUUAUCCGGAUUUACUGGGCGUAAAGGGUGCGUAGGUGGUUUCUUAAGUCAGGAGUGAAAGGCUACGGCUCAACCGUAGUAAGCUCUUGAAACUGGGAAACUUGAGUGCAGGAGAGGAAAGUGGAAUUCCUAGUGUAGCGGUGAAAUGCGUAGAUAUUAGGAGGAACACCAGUAGCGAAGGCGGCUUUCUGGACUGUAACUGACACUGAGGCACGAAAGCGGGGGGAGCAAACAGGAUUAGAUACCCUGGUAGUCCACGCCGUAAACGAUGAGUACUAGGUGUCGGGGGUUCACCCCCC
RNAcentral lists this ribosomal RNA (803 nucleotides) under uncultured bacterium. RNAcentral's name for it is "bacterial SSU rRNA". It matches the Rfam family "Bacterial small subunit ribosomal RNA", at positions 8 to 841 of the family's 1533-position model. The record is from RNAcentral.